RNAcentral lists this ribosomal RNA (1552 nucleotides) under Escherichia fergusonii. RNAcentral's name for it is "bacterial SSU rRNA". It matches the Rfam family "Bacterial small subunit ribosomal RNA". The record is from RNAcentral. Lineage: Bacteria; Pseudomonadati; Pseudomonadota; Gammaproteobacteria; Enterobacterales; Enterobacteriaceae.
AAAUUGAAGAGUUCGAUCAUGGCUCAGAUUGAACGCUGGCGGCAGGCCUAACACAUGCAAGUCGAACGGUAACAGGAAACAGCUUGCUGUUUCGCUGACGAGUGGCGGACGGGUGAGUAAUGUCUGGGAAACUGCCUGAUGGAGGGGGAUAACUACUGGAAACGGUAGCUAAUACCGCAUAAUGUCGCAAGACCAAAGAGGGGGACCUUCGGGCCUCUUGCCAUCGGAUGUGCCCAGAUGGGAUUAGCUAGUAGGUGGGGUAACGGCUCACCUAGGCGACGAUCCCUAGCUGGUCUGAGAGGAUGACCAGCCACACUGGAACUGAGACACGGUCCAGACUCCUACGGGAGGCAGCAGUGGGGAAUAUUGCACAAUGGGCGCAAGCCUGAUGCAGCCAUGCCGCGUGUAUGAAGAAGGCCUUCGGGUUGUAAAGUACUUUCAGCGGGGAGGAAGGGAGUAAAGUUAAUACCUUUGCUCAUUGACGUUACCCGCAGAAGAAGCACCGGCUAACUCCGUGCCAGCAGCCGCGGUAAUACGGAGGGUGCAAGCGUUAAUCGGAAUUACUGGGCGUAAAGCGCACGCAGGCGGUUUGUUAAGUCAGAUGUGAAAUCCCCGGGCUCAACCUGGGAACUGCAUCUGAUACUGGCAAGCUUGAGUCUCGUAGAGGGGGGUAGAAUUCCAGGUGUAGCGGUGAAAUGCGUAGAGAUCUGGAGGAAUACCGGUGGCGAAGGCGGCCCCCUGGACGAAGACUGACGCUCAGGUGCGAAAGCGUGGGGAGCAAACAGGAUUAGAUACCCUGGUAGUCCACGCCGUAAACGAUGUCGACUUGGAGGUUGUGCCCUUGAGGCGUGGCUUCCGGAGCUAACGCGUUAAGUCGACCGCCUGGGGAGUACGGCCGCAAGGUUAAAACUCAAAUGAAUUGACGGGGGCCCGCACAAGCGGUGGAGCAUGUGGUUUAAUUCGAUGCAACGCGAAGAACCUUACCUGGUCUUGACAUCCACGGAAGUUUUCAGAGAUGAGAAUGUGCCUUCGGGAACCGUGAGACAGGUGCUGCAUGGCUGUCGUCAGCUCGUGUUGUGAAAUGUUGGGUUAAGUCCCGCAACGAGCGCAACCCUUAUCCUUUGUUGCCAGCGGUCCGGCCGGGAACUCAAAGGAGACUGCCAGUGAUAAACUGGAGGAAGGUGGGGAUGACGUCAAGUCAUCAUGGCCCUUACGACCAGGGCUACACACGUGCUACAAUGGCGCAUACAAAGAGAAGCGACCUCGCGAGAGCAAGCGGACCUCAUAAAGUGCGUCGUAGUCCGGAUUGGAGUCUGCAACUCGACUCCAUGAAGUCGGAAUCGCUAGUAAUCGUGGAUCAGAAUGCCACGGUGAAUACGUUCCCGGGCCUUGUACACACCGCCCGUCACACCAUGGGAGUGGGUUGCAAAAGAAGUAGGUAGCUUAACCUUCGGGAGGGCGCUUACCACUUUGUGAUUCAUGACUGGGGUGAAGUCGUAACAAGGUAACCGUAGGGGAACCUGCGGUUGGAUCACCUCCUUACCUUAAAGAA